UCCCUGGUAUUUCAGUGGUUAAGAAGCUGUGCUUCCAAGGUAUGGGGCUCAGGUUCAAUCCCUGGUUAGGGAG
This 73-nucleotide transfer RNA is filed under the name Bos taurus (domestic cattle). It matches the Rfam family "tRNA". Rfam says of the family: Transfer RNA (tRNA) molecules are approximately 80 nucleotides in length. The record is from Rfam by way of RNAcentral. Lineage: Eukaryota; Metazoa; Chordata; Mammalia; Artiodactyla; Bovidae. RNAcentral also lists the same sequence under 3 other names.